RNAcentral lists this unclassified non-coding RNA (483 nucleotides) under Hevea brasiliensis (rubber tree). Lineage: Eukaryota; Viridiplantae; Streptophyta; Magnoliopsida; Malpighiales; Euphorbiaceae. The record is from RNAcentral.
GUCUGGUAUAAGCUGUUCCAUUCAUGAAGAUGGUUUGGCAGCAAUUGGUUCAGGUUUUGCCACAAGGCUUAAAAUUCUCAACCUUCGGAUGUGCAGAACUGUUGGUGACCACUCCAUCAUGGCAAUAGCAAGGGGUUGCCCAUUGCUCCAAGAAUGGAAUUUGGCAUUAUGUCAUUCAGUCAUGAUUUCAGGAUGGAAGUCUAUAGGGUCCAAUUGCAAAAAAUUGGAGAAACUUCAUGUGAAUCGCUGCCGGAAUUUGUCUGAUCAUGGACUGCAGGCUCUGAGAGAAGGGUGCAAAAGGCUCUCAGUUUUAUAUAUUAGCAAGUGUUGUCGAUUAUCUUCUACUGCAAUAGAGUUGUUCAAAUUGUAUAGAGGUAAUGUUGAGAUCAGGGAAGAAGAGAUCAUGUGUGUGGGACCUGACUGGACAAUUUGAUAAUGAUGGGUGAUACUUAAACCCUCUAAACUGAUAUGAAAUACCCAUGA